GCUUUUAAAGGAAAACAGUUAUCCCCUGGUCUUAGGCUCCAGUAUUCUUGGUGCAAAUCCAAGUGAAAGCU
This 71-nucleotide transfer RNA is filed under the name Platyplectrum melanopyga (Wokan cannibal frog). RNAcentral's name for it is "tRNA-Leu". It matches the Rfam family "tRNA". Rfam says of the family: Transfer RNA (tRNA) molecules are approximately 80 nucleotides in length. Their secondary structure includes four short double-helical elements and three loops (D, anti-codon, and T loops). Further hydrogen bonds mediate the characteristic L-shaped molecular structure. tRNAs have two regions of fundamental functional importance: the anti-codon, which is responsible for specific mRNA codon recognition, and the 3' end, to which the tRNAs corresponding amino acid is attached (by aminoacyl-tRNA synthetases). tRNAs cope with the degeneracy of the genetic code in two manners: having more than one tRNA (with a specific anti-codon) for a particular amino acid; and 'wobble' base-pairing, i.e. permitting non-standard base-pairing at the 3rd anti-codon position. The record is from RNAcentral. Lineage: Eukaryota; Metazoa; Chordata; Amphibia; Anura; Limnodynastidae.